GCGGCUGCUAUACAUGCAGUCGAGCGGACUUGAUGAGAAGCUUGCUUCCCUGAUACGUUAGCGGCGGACGGGUGAGUAACACGUAGGCAACCUGCCCUCAAGUUUGGGACAACUACCGGAAACGGUAGCUAAUACCGAAUAAUUGUUUUCUUCGCCUGAAGGAAACUGGAAAGACGGAGCAAUCUGUCACUUGGGGAUGGGCCUGCGGCGCAUUAGCUAGUUGGUGAGGUAACGGCUCACCAAGGCGACGAUGCGUAGCCGACCUGAGAGGGUGAUCGGCCACACUGGGACUGAGACACGGCCCAGACUCCUACGGGAGGCAGCAGUAGGGAAUCUUCCGCAAUGGGCGAAAGCCUGACGGAGCAAUGCCGCGUGAGUGAUGAAGGUUUUCGGAUCGUAAAGCUCUGUUGCCAGGGAAGAACGCUUGGGAGAGUAACUGCUCUCAAGGUGACGGUACCUGAGAAGAAAGCCCCGGCUAACUACGUGCCAGCAGCCGCGGUAAUACGUAGGGGGCAAGCGUUGUCCGGAAUUAUUGGGCGUAAAGCGCGCGCAGGCGGUCAUUUAAGUCUGGUGUUUAAUCCCGGGGCUCAACCCCGGAUCGCACUGGAAACUGGGUGACUUGAGUGCAGAAGAGGAGAGUGGAAUUCCACGUGUAGCGGUGAAAUGCGUAGAUAUGUGGAGGAACACCAGUGGCGAAAGCGACUCUCUGGGCUGUAACUGACGCUGAGGCGC
Molecule: ribosomal RNA, 732 nt
Filed under: Paenibacillus amylolyticus
Lineage: Bacteria; Bacillati; Bacillota; Bacilli; Caryophanales; Paenibacillaceae
Description: bacterial SSU rRNA
Rfam family: Bacterial small subunit ribosomal RNA
Source: RNAcentral